CGUAGGAGCGAGCGUUAUCCGGAUUUAUUGGGUGUAAAGGGUGCGUAGACGGAAUGAAGUUAGUUGUGAAAUACCUCGGCUUAACUGAGGAACUGCAACUAAACUAUAUUUCUUGAGUAUCGGAGGGUUUGUGGAAUUCCUAGUGUAGCGGUGAAAUGCGUAGAUAUUAGGAAGAACACCGGUGGCGAAGGCGACAAACUGGACGAUAACUGACGUUGAGGCACGAAAGUGUGGGGAGCAAACAGGAUU
RNAcentral lists this ribosomal RNA (249 nucleotides) under uncultured bacterium. RNAcentral's name for it is "partial 16S ribosomal RNA". It matches the Rfam family "Bacterial small subunit ribosomal RNA", at positions 526 to 779 of the family's 1533-position model. The record is from RNAcentral.